CGGAGGGUGCAAGCGUUAUCCGGAUUCACUGGGUUUAAAGGGUGCGUAGGUGGGCAGGUAAGUCAGUGGUGAAAUCUCCGGGCUUAACUCGGAAACUGCCAUUGAUACUAUCUGUCUUGAAUACCGUGGAGGUCAGCGGAAUAUGUCAUGUAGCGGUGAAAUGCUUAGAUAUGACAUAGAACACCAAUUGCGAAGGCAGCUGGCUACACGAAUAUUGACACUGAUGCACGAAAGCGUGGGGAUCAAACAGGAUUAGAUACCCUGGUAGUCCACGCCCUAAACGAUGGAUACUCGACAUACGCGAUACACAGUGUGUGUCUGAGCGAAAGCAUUAAGUAUCCCACCUGGGAAGUACGAUCGCAAGAUUG
Molecule: ribosomal RNA, 368 nt
Filed under: uncultured organism
Description: bacterial SSU rRNA
Rfam family: Bacterial small subunit ribosomal RNA
Source: RNAcentral